This 499-nucleotide ribosomal RNA is filed under the name uncultured bacterium. Its description in RNAcentral is "partial 16S ribosomal RNA". It matches the Rfam family "Bacterial small subunit ribosomal RNA", at positions 30 to 523 of the family's 1533-position model. The record is from RNAcentral.
AUUGAACGCUGGCGGCAUGCCUUACACAUGCAAGUCGAACGGUAACAGGUCUUCGGAUGCUGACGAGUGGCGAACGGGUGAGUAAUACAUCGGAACGUGCCUAGUAGUGGGGGGAUAACUGCUCGAAAGAGCAGCUAAUACCGCAUACGACCUGAGGGUGAAAGGGGGGGAUCGCAAGACCUCUCGCUAUUGGAGCGGCCGAUAUCAGAUUAGCUAGUUGGUGGGGUAAAGGCCUACCAAGGCAACGAUCCGUAGUUGGUCUGAGAGGACGACCAGCCACACUGGGACUGAGACACGGCCCAGACUCCUACGGGAGGCAGCAGGGGGGAAUUUUGGACAAUGGGCGCAAGCCUGAUCCAGCAAUGCCGCGUGCAGGAAGAAGGCCUUCGGGUUGUAAACUGCUUUUGUCAGGGAAGAAAUCUUCUGGGCUAAUACCCCGGGAGGAUGACGGUACCUGAAGAAUAAGCACCGGCUAACUACGUGCCAGCCGCCGCGGUAA